This 587-nucleotide ribosomal RNA is filed under the name uncultured bacterium. RNAcentral's name for it is "bacterial SSU rRNA". It matches the Rfam family "Bacterial small subunit ribosomal RNA", at positions 338 to 917 of the family's 1533-position model. The record is from RNAcentral.
CCUACGGGAGGCAGCAGUGGGGAAUAUUGCACAAUGGGCGCAAGCCUGAUGCAGCCAUGCCGCGUGUGUGAAGAAGGCCUUCGGGUUGUAAAGCACUUUCAGUCGUGAGGAAGGUUUAUGCGUUAAUAGCGUAUAGAUUUGACGUUAGCGACAGAAGAAGCACCGGCUAACUCCGUGCCAGCAGCCGCGGUAAUACGGAGGGUGCAAGCGUUAAUCGGAAUUACUGGGCGUAAAGCGCGCGUAGGUGGCUUGAUAAGCCGGUUGUGAAAGCCCCGGGCUCAACCUGGGAACGGCAUCCGGAACUGUCAAGCUAGAGUGCAGGAGAGGAAGGUAGAAUUCCCGGUGUAGCGGUGAAAUGCGUAGAGAUCGGGAGGAAUACCAGUGGCGAAGGCGGCCUUCUGGACUGACACUGACACUGAGGUGCGAAAGCGUGGGUAGCAAACAGGAUUAGAUACCCUGGUAGUCCACGCCGUAAACGAUGUCGACCAGCCGUUGGGUGCCUAGCGCACUUUGUGGCGAAGUUAACGCGAUAAGUCGACCGCCUGGGGAGUACGGCCGCAAGGUUAAAACUCAAAUGAAUUGACGGA